CAGAACAUAAUUUAAGUAGAAUGCUGGCUUUGGGGGCCAUAUGUGGAGGUUAAAGUCCUUUUGUUCUGA
This 69-nucleotide transfer RNA is filed under the name Gephyromantis pseudoasper. RNAcentral describes it as "tRNA-Pro". It matches the Rfam family "tRNA". From Rfam's summary of the family: Transfer RNA (tRNA) molecules are approximately 80 nucleotides in length. Their secondary structure includes four short double-helical elements and three loops (D, anti-codon, and T loops). Lineage: Eukaryota; Metazoa; Chordata; Amphibia; Anura; Mantellidae. The record is from RNAcentral.